This is a long non-coding RNA of Etheostoma cragini (Arkansas darter), 2598 nucleotides long. RefSeq lists it as uncharacterized. The transcript is spliced from 4 exons. The record is from RefSeq and is a predicted model, not a curated record. Lineage: Eukaryota; Metazoa; Chordata; Actinopteri; Perciformes; Percidae.
UUAGCUAACGGAUUGACUGGUGGAGAAAGCGAAGCAGAUCAAAUAUGCAGAUCAAUUCUCUCAAAACAGACCAAAGUCGUUGGGAAAUAACGAGCUUUAGUUACAGACAGUACGUGAUAUCAAAGACGAGUCAAUUUUGAUGUCCAAUAAUAACUAAAUGUAAUGACUGUAAACUAGCUGAGGCAGUUUGUAGCCUAAGCUAGCGUUAAUAUGUUAACGUUAGCUAGCUACAACUUGAAUGGGGAAAGGCAUGUGUGUUUUUUGUCCUAUAUAGCUAGCUAGUGCUGACAAAUAAGUAACGUUAAAUGCUGUCAUUGGUGAUAUAUUGAAACAUAUGGGUUUGCUUUACUUUUUUAAAAACACCUCUUAAAUUAAAAAAGGUAAAGGAGUUACAUUUUUUGACAAGCUGUCAGCUGAGACGGAGACCACCACUAAACUCCAGUCCAUGUUUUUCGAGCAACACCUGCUAACCGAGAAAUUCAAUUAAGGACUCCUCUUCCCACUUGGAGCCGGUCUCCAGGGCAGAUCUUCCGGGCGACUCGCUGUAUAAGAAAUUAAAAAAGGCUACAAUAAAAACCGAAAAUCUGAAAAAUGUGGUAACUUUAUUAAUGAAAGCUCUUACGCUAUCCACCGUAAACACACACGUCCCUUUAGUUGGAAGUCACCGAUAGACAGCGAAGUACUUCAGAUCAUUCAUGGAAAGCCAUCUUCUAUAUUAAAAAUGCCACUGCUAGUACAACACAAGUGCAACUCUGGAAUGUGACGCCAUGUGUCUGCUGUCCAAAGGUCCAUCUCUAGGUGGACACCGGCCAGCCUUCACUGUCAGACUGGAGUGCCACUGAAGACCUCUGUGAUUCCCCCACACGUCCGUGCCAGGACUGUUCCUCUCCCUUUGGAUCUGUUAGUUUGAAAUCAUUUGGGUGAUGACUCUUUGAAAGUGGUGGUCAUUCUGGGAUGCCAUGUUCAAAAUGCAACAAAGACAUCUCUUUUAUGCACAAAUGCUAAUUAAAAUUUUUACCCCCAUCCCCAAGCUGCAGAGGGAGAGACUUGGUAGCAAUUUGGCAGAUAAUCAAAUUGCAUUUUAAAUGGAGCUGUUUAAAGAUGACUGGGGUCUGCUCACAGGAAGACACAGUGGCACAAAUUAAGCUUGAAUAAGCUGCUAUGUGUAUAGAGAAACAAUACAACACAAUUCACAUCACAAUAGGAAGAUGCAUUUAUGUAAAUGGCCAACAUGCAAUGUUUGCUAUACACAUACACAGUGAAAUUUGUUUUCUCGAAAUGAAUGCAUGCAGGAAUUCUGUUUUUUUUAUAUUACAUACUAACAAAUUAUUGUAGCUAGCGACCAAACAGAAACUCUCAUCCAAAGUAAAUGUCAUCAGUGCAAAACUUGAGAUUCUUAUAUAUUUCAUGAAGAACUUUGCCAUUCUCACAAAAAUUGGAGGGUCUAGAUCCCCUUCCGAGGCCAUGCCCAAAAUGGUGUACUGAUUGGUGGAAAUGGGCGUGGCCUAUUACGCCCCAAAAAAUGCUUUGGAGCUUUUAGAAUGGAUCUAUAAAAUGAAUGUAAAAGGGAAGCUUUGAUUUUUUCGUAUUACUACAGACCUCGCCGCUUAUGCCUAGCAACAUUUUCUUUACUUUUGCCUUGCGCUUGUCGCGCUUUGGGAUCAAUUGUCACAUACUUCAAGCGUUUUCAGGGGCGACUUGUGCCGGGGAGGCUUGGACCCCAUCAUAACUGUAUGCACUUCUAGUCUUUUAAUUAUGAGUAAGCAUUUUUUUCAAUAUGUGUCUUUAUAAUUUGACCAGUUGAGGCAAAAUGCUAAUAAGACAUGAACUGUUGUGGUUCCUUGGAACCGUUUUGUUCUUAAUUUUAGAUUUUCAGCCUGACGGAAAUGGCAAACUGUGGGGAUAAUGUUGUCAACAGCUAUGUUUGUCUACAAAAUUCUGUGCUUAGAAGCUGUCCCCCCACAUUUGGCAUACAUCAUUAAGUUCUUCGUGGCCCAUCAAAUUGUUUAUUCACACAGCAUUCCAGUACAUAUUAGUGACAUCUCGUUAGCAAAAAACAGAAAACUGACACAAUAACUUUGGGAAACAGGCCUGAAUUGUUUAUUCCUAAGAAUAAGUAGAAAGUUUGAAAUGAUAGAAUUGGAUCAUGAUGCAGCUCCCAAGGCCUCUUUUAUGCUUUCUCUUUGUGCCCCUGAAAAACUGAAAGCACUAAAUGAUCUGUUUAGUUUUCAACACCAUUUUUAUUCGGGCCACAUUUCCUGGGAAGUUCAACAUUCAUCACAAGAACAAUACAGCCAUCAGAACGGCUUCAUAUCCAUAAAACUCCAUUAUGGACAGCACAACAAGUGAUGCUUGACUUGUAAAUUUAAAUGGUUCUUAAUUGGCUGGGAUUUGCUGGCUGUACAGCAGUGACUGAAAGUGGCAUAAGGAUCCUCCUCGGAUGAUACCUUACUUUUCUGUCAACUUAAUGCACCUUGACUCUGCAUGUGUCUGUUCUCUGUGUGGCCAUCAUCCCAGCAUCAUAGACAGACAUAACAAUAGUUUGGACCUGCACACUACAGGUUACACUUAAGUAGAUGUCAUUUGACCUCCUCCACC